AGCAUAUCAAUAAGCGGAGGAAAAGAAACCAACAGGGAAUUGCCCUAGUAACGGCGAGUGAAGCGGCAACAGCUCAAAUUUGAAAUCUGGCUCUUUCAGAGUCCGAGUUGUAAUUUGCAGAGGGCGCUUUGGCUUUGGCAGCGGUCCAAGUUCCUUGGAACAGGACGUCACAGAGGGUGAGAAUCCCGUACGUGGUCGCUAGCUAUUGCCGUGUAAAGCCCCUUCGACGAGUCGAGUUGUUUGGGAAUGCAGCUCUAAAUGGGAGGUAAAUUUCUUCUAAAGCUAAAUAUUGGCCAGAGACCGAUAGCGCACAAGUAGAGUGAUCGAAAGAUGAAAAGCACUUUGGAAAGAGAGUCAAACAGCACGUGAAAUUGUUGAAAGGGAAGCGCUUGCAGCCAGACUUGCUUGCAGUUGCUCAUCCGGGCUUUUGCCCGGUGCACUCUUCUGUAGGCAGGCCAGCAUCAGUUUGGGCGGUGGGAUAAAGGUCUCUGUCACGUACCUCUCUUCGGGGAGGCCUUAUAGGGGAGACGACAUACCACCAGCCUAGACUGAGGUCCGCGCAUCUGCUAGGAUGCUGGCGUAAUGGCUGUAAGCGGCCCGUCUUGAAACACGGACCAAGGAGUCUAACAUCUAUGCGAGUGUUUGGGUGUCAAGCCCGAGCGCGUAAUGAAAGUGAACGGAGGUGGGAACCCGCAAGGGUGCACCAUCGACCGAUCCUGAAGUUUACGGAAGGAUUUGAGUAAGAGCAUGGCUGUUGGGACCCGAAAGAUGGUGAACUAUGCUUGAAUAGGGUGAAGCCAGAGGAAACUCUGGUGGAGGCUCGCAGCGGUUCUGACGUGCAAAUCGAUCGUCAAAUUUGGGCAUAGGGGCGAAAGACUAAUCGAACUAUCUAGUAGCU
This 898-nucleotide ribosomal RNA is filed under the name Bipolaris mediocris. Its description in RNAcentral is "LSU rRNA". It matches the Rfam family "Eukaryotic large subunit ribosomal RNA", at positions 37 to 952 of the family's 3401-position model. The record is from RNAcentral. Lineage: Eukaryota; Fungi; Ascomycota; Dothideomycetes; Pleosporales; Pleosporaceae.